This 438-nucleotide ribosomal RNA is filed under the name uncultured bacterium. Its description in RNAcentral is "partial 16S ribosomal RNA". It matches the Rfam family "Bacterial small subunit ribosomal RNA", at positions 339 to 795 of the family's 1533-position model. The record is from RNAcentral.
CUACGGGAGGCAGCAGUGAGGAAUAUUGCACAAUGGGGGGAACCCUGAUGCAGCAACGCCGCGUGGAGGAUGACGCAUUUCGGUGUGUAAACUCCUUUUAUAUGUCAAGAAAAUGACGGUAGCAUAUGAAUAAGCACCGGCUAACUCCGUGCCAGCAGCCGCAGUAAUACGGAGGGGCAAGCGUUACUCGGAAUCACUGGGCGUAAAGGACGCGUAGGCGGGCUUGUAAGUCAGGUGUGAAAUCCUACAGCUUAACUGUAGAACUGCACUUGAAACUACGAGCCUAGAGUAUGGGAGGGGCAGAUGGAAUUAGUGGUGUAGGGGUAAAAUCCGUAGAUAUCACUAGGAAUACCUAAAGCGAAGGCGAUCUGCUGGAACAUAACUGACGCUAAGGCGUGAAAGCGUGGGGAGCAAACAGGAUUAGAUACCCUGGUAGUC